CCUACGGGAGGCAGCAGUGGGGAAUAUUGGACAAUGGGCGAAAGGCUGAUCCAGCCAUGCCGCGUGUGUGAAGAAGGCCUUCGGGUUGUAAAGCACUUUCAGUGGGGAAGAAAGCCUUGGGGCUAAUACCCUCGAGGAAGGACAUCACCCACAGAAGAAGCACCGGCUAACUCCGUGCCAGCAGCCGCGGUAAUACGGAGGGUGCGAGCGUUAAUCGGAAUUACUGGGCGUAAAGCGCGCGUAGGCGGUCUGAUAAGCCGGUUGUGAAAGCCCCGGGCUCAACCUGGGAACGGCAUCCGGAACUGUCAGGCUAGAGUGCAGGAGAGGAAGGUAGAAUUCCCGGUGUAGCGGUGAAAUGCGUAGAGAUCGGGAGGAAUACCAGUGGCGAAGGCGGCCUUCUGGACUGACACUGACGCUGAGGUGCGAAAGCGUGGGUAGCAAACAGGAUUAGAUACCCCUGUAGUC
RNAcentral lists this ribosomal RNA (465 nucleotides) under Vreelandella stevensii. RNAcentral's name for it is "partial 16S ribosomal RNA". It matches the Rfam family "Bacterial small subunit ribosomal RNA", at positions 338 to 795 of the family's 1533-position model. Lineage: Bacteria; Pseudomonadati; Pseudomonadota; Gammaproteobacteria; Oceanospirillales; Halomonadaceae. The record is from RNAcentral.